GACAGAGGUGCCAAGCGUUAGGCGGAAUCACUGGGCUUAAAGCGUGUGUAGGCGGGUCGUUAAGUGUCUUGUGAAAUCCCCCGGCUCAACCGGGGAAUGGCUGGGCAUACUGGCGAUCUUGAGCAGUCUAGGGGCAGAUGGAACAGACGGUGGAGCGGUGAAAUGCGUAGAUAUCGCUUGGAACGCCAAAGGUGAAAACAGGUUGCUGGGGUUGUGCCGACGCUGAGACACGAAAGCCAGGGGAGCAAACGGG
RNAcentral lists this ribosomal RNA (253 nucleotides) under uncultured bacterium. RNAcentral describes it as "partial 16S ribosomal RNA". It matches the Rfam family "Bacterial small subunit ribosomal RNA", at positions 524 to 776 of the family's 1533-position model. The record is from RNAcentral.